GAUGAACGCUGGCGGCGUGCCUAAUACAUGCAAGUCGAGCGAACGGACGAGAAGCUUGCUUCUCUGAUGUUAGCGGCGGACGGGUGAGUAACACGUGGAUAACCUACCUAUAAGACUGGGAUAACUUCGGGAAACCGGAGCUAAUACCGGAUAAUAUUUUGAACCGCAUGGUUCAAUAGUGAAAGACGGUUUUGCUGUCACUUAUAGAUGGAUCCGCGCUGCAUUAGCUAGUUGGUAAGGUAACGGCUUACCAAGGCAACGAUGCAUAGCCGACCUGAGAGGGUGAUCGGCCACACUGGAACUGAGACACGGUCCAGACUCCUACGGGAGGCAGCAGUAGGGAAUCUUCCGCAAUGGGUGAAAGCCUGACGGAGCAACGCCGCGUGAGUGAUGAAGGUCUUCGGAUCGUAAAACUCUGUUAUUAGGGAAGAACAUAUGUGUAAGUAACUGUGCACAUCUUGACGGUACCUAAUCAGAAAGCCACGGCUAACUACGUG
This 497-nucleotide ribosomal RNA is filed under the name uncultured bacterium. Its description in RNAcentral is "partial 16S ribosomal RNA". It matches the Rfam family "Bacterial small subunit ribosomal RNA", at positions 28 to 507 of the family's 1533-position model. The record is from RNAcentral.